RNAcentral lists this long non-coding RNA (1690 nucleotides) under Vulpes vulpes (red fox). Its description in RNAcentral is "lncRNA (ENSVVUG00000006641.1)". Lineage: Eukaryota; Metazoa; Chordata; Mammalia; Carnivora; Canidae. The record is from RNAcentral.
CCCGCCGGCAGGUAGGGCGCCCCGAGGCCGCGACCGCCGCCCCCCGUGCCCUGCGCCUCAGCCGGGCUUCCGGGGGCCGCCGGCGGGCGGGGGCCGCGCCUCAGGCCCGGAGUCGCCCUGACGGACGCUUCCCCUCGCGCUCGCAUCUCCCUCAGGGCUGCCGCCCCCGGAGCCGACGGUGGGACACGGCUCUUUACCUUGCUGAGGCGUGACCGGGGUGUGACCCCGCCGCGUGCGCCCCGCUCGGGACGGCCCCUGGGCCUUCGCGGGGAGCCCUCGGGGGAGGGGCCGGGGCCGGGGCCGGGGCCGGGGCGCGCUCAGGGCCCGCAGUGUCCCUCGCGGCGGCGGCAGCGGCAGCACGAGGCUCAGCAGCAGGGCCCGACGGCGCAGAGCUCGCUCCCGCCACAAUCCCAGCCCAACUCGCGACGCCUUCAGUGUUGUUUUUAGAUUUUAUUUAUUCAUGAGAGAGGCAGAGACCCAGGUGCAGGGGGAGGCGGCUCCCCGCGGGGAGCGGGUGCGGACUCGAUCGCGGGCCCGGGGGUCACGGCCUGGGCCGGAGGCCGACGCCCCACCGCGAGCGCCCGCGCCCAGCCCAGGGUGCGCUGUUACACCACUAGCCCGUGAGGUCUUGUGCCUUGAGACUGUGCACGUAAGUAAGAGGUUAACGGACAUUUAGAUUUAAGUAAAUCGGUGAACCGGAGCCCAGUGUAGGGAUGGGUCAGCGUGGAUGGAACGGAUUAGUGCUCACCGGGCUGCAGCACGUGUUCUUCGUGAAUCCUGUAACUGGCCUCUCCAUACCCUGGAACUCGGAACUUCCUGAAAUCUAAAGUUUGUGACAGGAAAUUAUGACGAAGCCGAAUGGAGAUGGAGGAAACGGCGGGGUGAUAUUUCAUAGUUAGCAGGAGGAGGAGAAGUACGGUUUCUUAGAAGAACUGAAAAGUUCAACGUGGCCAGAAAGCCAGGAUGUAAUACAACUGGCAAGUAAUGCAGCCAGGUGGAGUUAAGUUUUUGGAGGGGGGAGAAGCGUGGCAGGAGUGGGCAGCGGAAGAUGAACUCAGAAGAGAGCAGUGUUUGGUGAGACAGGGCAGCAGAGGCCCCGAGGGCACAGCCAACAGCAGUGUCUCCCGAGGCGGAACAUGUACUUCUCUGCAACCCAGCCAGUGCACCUCAGGACCUUUGCCCCAGGGGAGUGAAAACAGGUUUACACAAAACCUUGUACGUAAAUGUUCAUUGUACCAUUUUUCAUAUUGGCCAGAAACUGCCAGGUGUCCUUCAGCAGGGGGAUGUCAAACAAACUGCUGUAGCCGUAUGGUUGGAUGAACCGCGAUGGAAUGAACCACUGACAUAUUAUACAGCUUGGGUGACUCUCCAGAGAAUUGUGCCGCGUGAAAAAAGCCAGGCCCAAAAUAAUACAUACUGUAUGAUUCCAUUUCUGUGACAUUUUUGAGUUCUAGAAAUGGAGAGUCGAUGAGUGACUGCCAGGGUUGGGAACUGGGGGCUGAGGGUUCUGGGAAGUGUGGUUAUAAAAAUGACAGGAGGGGCCCUCCUGGUGGUGGAGCUGCUCAGGGUCUUGACUGUGGUGGUGGAUACAUGAACUUCCUCGGGGUAAAACUGACCGAAGUGUGUACACAUCACACAGAAACAGGGCACUCUGAAUAAAAUCAGUGUCGGUGUCCUGGUUAUGAGAUUA